Molecule: ribosomal RNA, 253 nt
Filed under: uncultured bacterium
Lineage: Bacteria
Description: partial small subunit ribosomal RNA
Rfam family: Bacterial small subunit ribosomal RNA
Source: RNAcentral
AGGACGAACGCUGGCGGCGUGCUUCACACAUGCAAGUCGAGCGGAAAGGCCCUUCGGGGUACUCGAGCGGCGAACGGGUGAGUAACACGUGAGUAACCUGCCCCUAACACCGGGAUAGCUCCGGGAAACUGGAAUUAAUACCGGAUAUCGACCACGGUCGGAAUCGGCCACGGUGGAAAGGACUCCGGUUAGGAUGGACUCGCGGCCUAUCAGCUAGUUGGUAGGUAAUGGCCUACAAGGCGACGACGGGUAG